Molecule: ribosomal RNA, 301 nt
Filed under: uncultured bacterium
Lineage: Bacteria
Description: partial 16S ribosomal RNA
Rfam family: Bacterial small subunit ribosomal RNA
Source: RNAcentral
CAGUAGCCGCGGUAAUACGAAGGGGGCUAGCGUUGUUCGGAAUUACUGGGCGUAAAGCGCACGUAGGCGGAUUUUUAAGUCAGGGGUGAAAUCCCGAGGCUCAACCUCGGAACUGCCUUUGAUACUGGAGAUCUUGAGUUCGGAAGAGGUUGGUGGAACAGCUAGUGUAGAGGUGAAAUUCGUAGAUAUUAGCUAGAACACCAGUGGCGAAGGCGGCCAACUGGUCCGAUACUGACGCUGAGGUGCGAAAGCGUGGGGAGCAAACAGGAUUAGAUACCCCGGUAGUCCCUGUCUCUUAUAC